Molecule: ribosomal RNA, 507 nt
Filed under: uncultured Glomeromycotina
Lineage: Eukaryota; Fungi; Glomeromycota
Description: partial small subunit ribosomal RNA
Rfam family: Eukaryotic small subunit ribosomal RNA
Source: RNAcentral
CCAAUAGCGUAUAUUAAAGUUGUUGCAGUUAAAAAGCUCGUAGUUGAAUUUCGGGAUUGACGUGAUGGUCGUGCCUUAAGGGGUAUGAACUGUCGCUGUUGAUUUCUCACCUUCUGGAGAAACUUGAUGUCCUUAAUUGGGUGUCUUGCGGAUCCAGGACCUUUACCUUGAAAAAAUUAGAGUGUUUAAAGCAGGCAUUUUUGCUCGAAUACAUUAGCAUGGAAUAAUAGAAUAGGACGGCAUGGUUCUAUUUUGUUGGUUUCUAGGAUCACCGUAAUGAUUAAUAGGGAUAGUUGGGGGCAUUAGUAUUCAAUUGUCAGAGGUGAAAUUCUUGGAUUUAUUGAAGACUAACUACUGCGAAGGCAUUUGCCAAGGAUGUUUUCAUUAAUCAAGAACGAAAGUUAGGGGAUCGAAGACGAUCAGAUACCGUCGUAGUCUUAACCAUAAACUAUGCCGACUAGGAAUCAGACGAUGUUAAUUUUUUAAUGACUCGUUUGGCACCUUACG